Molecule: ribosomal RNA, 440 nt
Filed under: uncultured bacterium
Lineage: Bacteria
Description: partial 16S ribosomal RNA
Rfam family: Bacterial small subunit ribosomal RNA
Source: RNAcentral
CCUACGGGAGGCAGCAGUGGGGAAUAUUGCACAAUGGGGGAAACCCUGAUGCAGCGACGCCGCGUGAGUGAAGAAGUAUUUCGGUAUGUAAAGCUCUAUCAGCAGGGAAGAAAAUGACGGUACCUGAUUAAGAAGCCCCGACUAACUACGUGCCAGCCGCCGCGGUAAUACGUAGGGGGCAAGCGUUAUCCGGAUUUACUGGGUGUGAAGGGAGCGUAGACGGCAGCACAAGUCUGGAGUGAAAUGCCGGGGCUUAACCCCGGAACUGCUUUGGAAACUGUGCAGCUAGAGUGCAGGAGAGGUAAGUGGAAUUCCUAGUGUAGCGGUGAAAUGCGUAGAUAUUAGGAGGAACACCAGUGGCGAAGGCGGCUUACUGGACUGUAACUGACGUUGAGGCUCGAAAGCGUGGGGAGCAAACAGGAUUAGAUACCCUUGUAGUC